This 253-nucleotide ribosomal RNA is filed under the name uncultured bacterium. Its description in RNAcentral is "partial 16S ribosomal RNA". It matches the Rfam family "Bacterial small subunit ribosomal RNA", at positions 524 to 776 of the family's 1533-position model. The record is from RNAcentral.
UACGAAGGGGGCGAGCGUUGUUCGGAUUUACUGGGCGUAAAGGGCGCGCAGGCGGCUAUCCAAGUCAGGCGUGAAAGCCCCGGGCUUAACCUGGGAGGUGCGUCUGGGACUGGGUGGCUAGAGAUCGGGAGAGGAGAGUGGAAUUCCCAGUGUAGAGGUGAGAUUCGUAGAUAUUCGGAAGAACACCAGUGGCGAAGGCGACUUACUGGAUCAUGACUGACGCUGAGGCUCGAAAGCGUGGGGAGCAAACAGG